Ictidomys tridecemlineatus (thirteen-lined ground squirrel) is the source of this 5258-nucleotide non-coding RNA. Lineage: Eukaryota; Metazoa; Chordata; Mammalia; Rodentia; Sciuridae. The record is from RefSeq and is a predicted model, not a curated record.
CUUCAAGAUGGCCAAUUUUGCUUCACACUGGAGUGGUUAGGGGACAGAAGGAAGCAAAGUGGGAGAAGUCCCUGCCUGUAAAGGGAGAGGGAGAUUUUUCCUAAAGGCCACACAGCAAGGCCCAAGGUAGAAAGGAGAUAUGAUUUUUUAAAAAUUAUUAUUCACAAGCUAAUAACCUUUGCACAGUGACACCCUUGCCCCCUCGGGCUUUUUGAUCAAAUGCCUGGUUCUCCUUUUCUGCCAAGACAGACAGGCAGUCAGGGUGCAGCUGCUAAGAACAUAAGACCAGACUUUCUGGGUCUAUAUUCUUAUGAGUCUUGGGGACUUGAGCAAAUGCCUUCUCUUUCGGUGCCUCAGUUUCCUCAUCUGAAAUGAGGCCAGGGUGAGAACCGACCUAAAAAAAAAAAAGGGCUGUUGUGGGGAUUAGACGAAUUAAUAUUUGCAUACAUUUUGAAAAGCGCCUCCCCUGUACCAAGUGCAAGGAAAGUGUUUGAUAAGUAAAUGAGACGCCAGUCCUGGGGAACCUACAGGGUUCCGGGGAGCUUUGAAGUUCAAGGGAAUUUUCAUUUCUUUGGGCGUGGGAGAUUACAACAGGUACCUGUCCCUGGAGGAGUUCACAUUCUAGUAGAGGAGACAGAUAAGAAGGCAAGUCGAAGGAAUUAAUGGACAACAUUAGAAGACAAGCUUAGCCAGAGCGGGUGAGCUCCUUUAGAUAGGGUGGCAGGUAAGUUAACACCCUGAGAGGUGGGGGCCAGGUGACAAGAAGGGAAAGCAGAGGUUGGGAAGAAAGAUGCUCCAGGAAGAGGGGUCGACCACAGAAGAAAGACCCAAGGUCGGCUCGGCUGGUGGGCCAUCCAGCCCGAGGGGGCUGCAGGGAGGGGAGCAUGGAACUGGGGUGUCAGGGUGGGAAGAUUAUUGUGGGGUCAUCCUAGCUUCUGUAAUGGGCAGCAGGGACGAGUUUCCAACUCUUCAGGCCACAUCUGGCAGGACCAUGAAGGUGGCCAGAGAAGGCUCCUGGAGAAAUACCCAUCACCAGACUCCCUCUGGAGGGGGAGGGGGACAGGAGCCUCUGAUGAGGUCAGAGGCAAGGCAGCCUCCUGCUCUGGGCUUCCAGAAGGCUCUGCUGUUUGCCGUUGCCCCAGGGCACACACACACACACACACACAAACCUGCCUGGGAUUAGGAAGCUGGGGAUUAGGAAGGAUAAUAAUUGAACCACCUGCUAUUUAUAUAGAGCACCUUUGGCAAAGACGCUCAGCAGGGCUUCCCAACACAGUGUCCCUUUUAUCCUCACCUCUGCCCCAGGGGUGGGGUGGAGAAGGGGCCCACUGGGCCUGGUUCUGUGUCCACAUAAAAAUCACCUGUCACCAAACAUCAGGGCAGAGAGGCGGUGGAGAUCAGUGGCACAUGGGCAAACAGAGGGGGGUGUGUACCACUUGCCUGUGGUUACCUAGAGAUUAUGGCAGAUAAUUGGUUCCAAUCAGGCACUCCCAUAGCACACAGUCUGGGCUGCCCUGGGUCAUGAGCAUUUGCUCCCGUGCACGCAGAUAUUUACUAAGCAUCUACUAUGUGCCAGGCACUGAGCUAGGCAACGGGGAUGCAGCGGUUGGAAAAAAGAUAAAACCGAGAAAAAAAACCUUCUGCUCUCAAGGAGCGGACAAUCGAAUGGAAUGGGGGAAAUAAACAAAUGGAUAAGUAAACUAUUUAGCUUUUCAAGUGGAAACGGAUACAAUGGGGGAAAGCCCCUUCCUGUGCCAGUUUUGGGAAGGGGUCAGGGACCAUCUCACCUCACCGAGGAGGUGGGAUGGGAAGCCAGAGAGGGCUGUGUCCCUGCACGGCUCCUCGACUCUUCUCUGCUACCCCUGGUGACAGUCUGUCACUGGGUGGCUCAGGCUGGGCUUCCCCAUCACAUCCAGAAUAGAGCCUCUUAGCCCCUCCCCUGUUAGCACCCUGGUCUGAGCCUCCCCGCCCCGCCCCCCCCUCCGGCCCUUGGGUGUCCCAUUUCUACCUGUCCUUCCUGCCACUCAGCAGCCCCAGGGAUCCUUUGAUAUGUGUCCCAUCAGCUCCUUUCCCUGUCGUCAGGGGUCUCCUGGAGAGAUGUGACUGAGCGCAGGAGGGGACCAUCAGGGGCUCCGAAGCUAGGGCUCCGGCAAGUUGACUUAUGUAACUUGGAGAAAAAAAAAAUAUUUUGAGGCUCCGUCUAUGAAAUAGGAAUGACAAGGACGAUCCUGAUACAAGGUGUCACUGGUGGCCUGGAUGUGAACGCAGCCCUAGUAGGAAGGAUCCGGGGUGGGCCUCUGCAGAAAGGACCAAGUACCAGACUCUUCCACACUCAUGGAACAACCUUGCUGGGUCCCCAAAGGUGAGGAGCAAAGCCAGGGACAGGGUGAGUGGACCAGGGCGACUUCGCAGGGCACGCGGGACCCUGCAGGGACCCAGCGCUCCCUGGCACCAGCCCUGCCCACGCCCGGCUCUUCACUUCCCGUCACCCUGGGCCAGCGUCAGCAGGCGAGCCCGCCAGGCUGCUUUUGUGCGGGGCCUGUCAAGAGGCUGGGGCUGCCAAUGACCUAUUUUUCUGGGCAAAGACGAGGCAUUUGGAGUAGAGGCCUCAGCUGUGGAGCCAGAACCAUCAAAAUACAAACAGCACAGACUCCUGGGCAGCCUGCACCGGGAACCAGCUGCCCGGCAGCAAAGCUGCUGACCAGGCUCUAGAGAAAGCAGGGCUGGGGGGCUGGGGGGCCGGGCCCUUGUGUCCCCGGCUCAUCUCUCUCCCUUCCUCCCCACUCACUGUCCUGUCAGCCAACCCUCGUGGCUUUUUGCCUUCAAAGUGAAUGUCCUCCGACCCUCACCCAUUUUGUAGCUGUGAAAACGGAGGCUUCCCAGGGUGGGAGUGGCUUGCCUGAGAUGCACAGCUAAUGGGCGGCCAAGCCCGUCAGGAUUGGAACUCGCUUCUCCAAGAGCAUGACACCGUUUCCCGUUUGCUGAACUUCAGAGUCAUGUUUUGGAACACACUCGGGCCACACCCGAGGGCCUUGCCAGUAACUCCCCGGCUUUACAGCUGACCAAGCUGAGACCUUGAGAGGCCUCUGCUCACAAGCCACGUCCUCAGUGAGGCCUGGCCAGACCACCCUGUCACCGUAGUCCCCCUCGGCCCCGCCCCAGUGACACCCCAGCCUCUUCCCCACUUUGCCUGCCUAGCAGGCUUUGUGGGCCUGCCCAAAUUGUGUGUCUUCGUUGUGUUUUAUCUAUCUUCCUGCCCAGCUACAGUUCAGUCCAGCCUGGCUGCUCAGUGGUUAGCUCUGGAUGUGAUCCUAAGGCUGAAACUCAGACUAUCCCGGGGGCAAAUUCUUUCUUUUUUUUUUUUCUUUUUGGAGGGAAGAUUCGGGAGAUUGAACUCAGAGGCACUCAACCACUGAGCCACAUCCCCAGCCCUAUAUUUUUUGUAUUUUAUUUAGAGACAGAGUCUCAUUGAGUUGCUUAGUGCCUCACUUUUUGCUGAGGCUGGCUUUGAACUCGCGAUCCUCCUGCCUCAGUCUCCAGAGCCACUGGGAUUACAGGCAUGCACCACCGUGCCCAGCCCAGAGGCAAAUUCUUUCAGGAAUUUGCCUCUCACUUAUGAAGAUUGGGUCAAUGAUAGUGUUGAACCUGAACGGUUUUUGUAAGGGUUAAAGAAGUUGAUAUUGAUUAUGCCAAUUGUUUUUUUUUUCCCCAGAACCUCAGCCCCAGGGACCUUCAGCAGUAAAGAGUAGGUUGAUAAUAAAUAUGUAUUAAGUUUAAAAACUGAUUCACUCCAGCUCACAAGGUAGGGAAUCAACAGAGGCAGGUCUCUGCAAACCUGUGUUUCAAAACUCACCCCACUUUAUAAUCACCUCUCCAUCGCACCCCGCCUGUCAUCCAUAGCUGCCCAGGAAAGCAGAGCUGUGGUUCUCCAAACUGAGCAGAUUCCAGCAGCCACUGGAGGGAGGGAUGGUUAAGACACACGCCACGCCCCACCUCCAGAGUGUCUAAUUCAGUGGAGUCAGGUCCUUCCCACCCCAGUGCCAACUGCCUGGAACACGGAGCUGGUUUCUGCCUGAAUUCCACCCUGAGAGCCUCCUCUCUGACAUUCCUUCUCCAGCAAAGAGAGCAACAGGGACCCCAUGGAACAGAUGAAAAGACUGAGGGCCAGAGAGGAACCGUGGCCCCAGACCUCAGCCUGAGACAUGAGGGGCCUCGGGAGAGAACGUUCACCCGGGUUCCAUCUCCUGGCAGUUCUUCUCCCCGGAUUCCAGCCAACGGUCAGCCUUCCAGAAUGGACUUAGGAUUUAGGCAGGAGUUGGGGUCAAGAGUCUCCAGGAAGGUCUCAAACCAAGGUGCAGAUUCUGCUUUAGUGGGUCGUGAGUGGGGCAGAGCUCUGUAUCCCUAACGAACCUCGAAGCCACUGGUCCCCGCCUGGACAGCACCUGGAACAGCCAUGAUUUGAAGGACAGAACCGGCCACAUCUAGUCCAAUGGUCUGAGAUCACAUCUGUCGCUCAGCUUCAAGGCUGUCCAUCAAAUCUCCUUUUGGGGGGGUCCUAGGGAUUGAACCCAGGGGCACUCAACCACUGAGCCACACACUGAGCCCUGUUGUCUAUUUUGUUUAGAGACAGAGUCUCACUAAGUUGCUUAGGGCCUUGCUAAGAGGCUGAGGCUGGCCUUGAACUUGGGAUCCUCCUGUCGCAGCCUUGCGAGUCUCUGGGUUUAUGGAGCGUGCCACUGCACCCGGCGUUCAACGCUCUUGACACAUGAUGCGGUCCCUCCCCUCAGCUGCAGGACCCCGGCUUUGCAGCUAUCACCUCCAAAACCAAAUGGGUCCUUCCCUGACUUCAUGCAAACCCCGUCCUGUCCCCGCGUGGUGGGGGAGCAUCACGGUGGCCCAGUGGGCUGUGGAGCCAGCAGCCCGAGCAGGUUCCAAUUCCACCCCUGCCAGCUACAGGUGGCUCGAUUGUCAUUCAGUUUCUCAUCAGGAAAAUGGAAAAAUCAUGAUAGCCUCUUUACAGGGCUAUUUUGAAGAUUCAAAGGAAUAAUAUAUAUCAGAAGUCUGCCAUACGGACGCACUCAAUAAAUGGGAUAUGGCUUUCCCGCUCUUCCACUUGUCCCUUAAGGUAAUGAUCUAUGUGUGUGUGUGUCUCAUUACUUCAAGUUUUUCUAUUUUUGCGUAUCUUUUAUCAAAUACAUUAUGUUUUAGCAAAAACGUAUAUAAGUGCAUUUAUAAAUAAACACCUAUGUUUAACUUUG